Sturnus vulgaris (Common starling) is the source of this 89-nucleotide non-coding RNA. The record is from RefSeq and is a predicted model, not a curated record. NCBI's taxonomy places the organism in Eukaryota, Metazoa, Chordata, Aves, Passeriformes, Sturnidae.
GAAAUGUUCAUGGCCUGGUUGGAUGGGGCAUUGAGAAACCUGGUCUGGUAGAAGGUGUCCCUGUCCAUGGCAGGGAUUUGAAAUGAAAA